This 253-nucleotide ribosomal RNA is filed under the name uncultured bacterium. RNAcentral describes it as "partial 16S ribosomal RNA". It matches the Rfam family "Bacterial small subunit ribosomal RNA", at positions 524 to 776 of the family's 1533-position model. The record is from RNAcentral.
UACGUAGGGUCCAAGCGUUAUCCGGAAUCACUGGGCGUAAAGCGUGCGUAGGCGGCGUGUUAAGUGUGGUGUUAACUCGUGUGGCUCAACCAUAUCGAUGCAUCGCAUACUGGCACACUAGAGGAAGGCAGAGGCAAGUGGAAUUGGUAGUGUAGCAGUGAAAUGCGUAGAUAUUACCAGGAACACCAAUGGCGAAGGCAGCUUGCUGGGCCUUUUCUGACGCUGAGGUACGAAAGCGUGGGGAGCGAACAGG